Long non-coding RNA from Asparagus officinalis (garden asparagus), 907 nucleotides. RefSeq lists it as uncharacterized. The transcript is spliced from 2 exons. NCBI's taxonomy places the organism in Eukaryota, Viridiplantae, Streptophyta, Magnoliopsida, Asparagales, Asparagaceae. The record is from RefSeq and is a predicted model, not a curated record.
GGCACCAUACUAGGAAUUUGUCAAAUCCUCACCCACGAAAUCCAACCCAAAAAAAACCCCGACUCCUCUUUUUCUCCUCUCUCACGCCGCUCGUGUCAAAGUCCCGACUGCGAACUCGAUCUCCAUCUCCAUCUCAAAGCUCGAUCUCGAUCUCGAUCUCGGUCUCGAUCCAUCGUAGCUUGUUUUCUCCUCUCUUUCGGUUGCUCUCCUCAAACUUCUGCAGUUUCUGAUUGGGAUUCAAGGUAUGACUUCAAUUUUUGCUGUUUUUUAAUUUUUAUUUUUUUUUUGGUUGGUUUUUGGGGAUCUGAGGAUGUGAGAUUCCUUUGUUUGGGGUAUCUGAGUGUGUUAUCAUACUGUUUGUAGAGUUCUGUUGGUAGAUUGUGUGCAACAGUUUAUGGAUUGUUGAGAAAAUCAGUACUCAAAUGACAAAAUAAUAUCCAUAGCUCUAUUUUCUUGAUGCGGGUGAUUCUAGUCAUAGGUGAGUGAUGCUUGUGGAAUAAGAACUUGAUGGUAUGGUGGAUGCCACGACUGUUUGAGUUGGCAACAACUCACUUCUCACUGAUUCUUUAGUUUAAUUCAGGUUGCAUUUAUGCUGGUCUUGUACUCUCUCUUAUUCCAGUUGAAGCAACAAAUUGGAGAGUAUCCAUGUUUUCCUGAUUUUUUUUUCUUUUCUUCAUUUGUAACUGUAUUUCUUUGUCCUGAUUUGAUGAAUCCGUACCUGAAAAAUUUCAAGACACUCACUAGAUUUUAUGAAUGUUACUUUUAUUUAGUGUUCUCAAUAGCAUUCCAUCUUCUCAUAAACAAUACAGUUACACAAACAAAAUAGCAUACCAAACAUUCUUCAUAAUUCACUGCACACACUGGUAGAUUAUGGCUCAUACAUACUCAUAGAAGCAUCAAAACCUCA